This 253-nucleotide ribosomal RNA is filed under the name uncultured bacterium. Its description in RNAcentral is "partial 16S ribosomal RNA". It matches the Rfam family "Bacterial small subunit ribosomal RNA", at positions 524 to 776 of the family's 1533-position model. The record is from RNAcentral.
UACGUAGGGUGCAAGCGUUGUCCGGAAUUAUUGGGCGUAAAGGGCUCGUAGGCGGUUUGUCACGUCGGGCGUGAAAACUCGGGGCUUAACCCCGAGCCUGCUUCCGAUACGGGCAGACUAGAGGUAUGCAGGGGAGAACGGAAUUCCUGGUGUAGCGGUGAAAUGCGCAGAUAUCAGGAGGAACACCGGUGGCGAAGGCGGUUCUCUGGGCAUUACCUGACGCUGAGGAGCGAAAGUGUGGGGAGCGAACAGG